Molecule: long non-coding RNA, 234 nt
Filed under: Gallus gallus (chicken)
Lineage: Eukaryota; Metazoa; Chordata; Aves; Galliformes; Phasianidae
Source: RNAcentral
GGAGGGUCUGCCUCUGCUUGGCAGCUCCUGGAGGAACUGCUGCCUUUCUUUCUUUUCAGCUGAUUCAUUUUUGUUUCCAAUUUCCAGAGGAAAUGUAACUCGGGUGAAACCUGGCGCAGAGCUCCGAAGCCGGAGGGUCCGAGAAAGCGGCGCAAAGGGAAGAAAAAGAGCAGCGAGGGCUGUACUUACAGAGCUGGCAGGAAUUUCAUUCAAAGGGAAGAAAGAGGAAAAAAG